UCAAAAUGAGUAAGGAAAUUCCUGAGGUGAUUUCCCGCAGGAUGCUGGGGCAUUUUCAGGGGCCGCUGGAUUUCAUCGCCUCUCCGGGUAGCGAGGAGGCUGGCCAUUUUAAUCCAUACAGUAGUUAUGUUGUCUCAUCCAUGUGCACUUCUGAGGGUGUGAGAACAAAAUCUAGGGGUUCAAAUAGAAUGUGCGGUGUGUGACAUAAGGCUUGGUGUUUACACUCAGUCCGUAAGUAGAUCGGUGCCAUCUGCUUGGACUAUGAGCUCCUUGAAGACACAAACUCUGCCUUAGACAUCUGUAUGUUCUUGGCACUCGAUGUAGCCCCCGGCUCAGAAGACAAUCACAAAGACGCUCACCUGCAUUUAAGACAGAUGGACAUGCGGCUCCAGUUCAGGUCCAGCUCUCUGUGUGCCCUCGAGCAAAGCACACAACCUACACAAGGUCACUGCCUGUGACACCAAGGGAUGCAGUUCGAACAGCUCCGUCAUCACCUCCGAGGUCGCAUACCAUGCACAGCGCUGGACACAGUCAGAGUCAUGACCAUCUUCUUGGGAUUGCUCGCUUCUGUCUAAGCGCUGGUGAAAUUGCUGAAAAUUCUCAUGAAUUAGUAGGAUAUUAGAAUUUUGUUAACUGAAGUAUUGAACGAUCACUAAAUGACUAUUGUCCGUACUGCGUAGUGCUUUUUACAAUCGUUCAGUAAAUUCAAAAGGAAAGCCUGUAGGAGAAGUGAAAUAGAAAAAACUCAUUAAGUACAUAUCCAACAAUACAGGGAGAUGUAUUUUAAACCUCUCAAAAGUGUCCUCCAAAAGGCCUUUUCUAAUUAAUCCAGUGAUUCUGAACACCGCUUUAUAGACCCAACGGUGCUCAGACCAGGUUGUGCUUCAAAAUUAACUGGGCAGCUUUUAUCUUUUUUUAAAAUACAAUCCAUGUGAGGUGUCAAUUAACAUACAGAGAAUUUUGUGUGUGUGUGUGUUAUAAAUCCUGAAAAAUGUCCCUUCUUCUGGUUGCUUCAGCUCUGGGCCAGGGCACAUGGUGGGCAAGCUGACCGUGGCCUGGAUUUCAGCCUCCAUCGGCUUCCUCCACCAGGUGCUCUUGUGCAGUGUGCAGACUUCACAACUGUGCAUGCCAUCCCUGUUCUUGACUUUCCCCACAGAUUCUGAUUCAGGGGGUUUAGAUGAAGCUGAAUAGAUAAUUCUAUUUGAAUAGAUAAUUCUAGCAAGUUCCCCAGGCGAGUCUACUGCACUAGCAUAUUUGAGAAUCACUGCUUUAUGAUACAUUUACUCGGCAAUCAUGUUUUCAUACAGUGCAUUUUUGCGCUUAUUCACUGAUGCUGCAUUACAGCUCUCGAGUGGGUCCUACAGGUAAAAGAAGGUAAGUGUGGAUUUUGGUUAAAGAUGUGAUUUAAAAAUUCACUUCUGUGUUAUGCAAAACUCCUCUUGAGUCAUUGUUGCGGCUGAGAAGCAGCCACGUGGGUCUCAUUGGAACCGGACUCUGACAUGAGCUAAGCAGGCUCGAUGAAGAAGGCUGGCAUCAGCAAUGCCCCCCAAGUCUGGGCACGUGUCCCCCCUGGGGAGGAGCCCCUCGACCCCAGUCAGCACAACUUCUGUGACACCCUGCUUUGCACCUGUCUCUCUGUGCCAGUGGUCACCUGGCGAUAGAUCAAAUGCAGUCUCGUGAGCAGAAAUCAUCCCUGAAGACAGGAAUACAGGAUGUGCUUCUCUGCCUUUAUGGAUGUUGCCCUUAAAAGAAGAUUCCAGGAAAAAGUGUGGAAUGCCAGCCGCCAGGCCCUUGCCGCUCAGCGCCGCCCGCCGUGAGGCGCUGUGCAGACGCUGACCCGGCAGGAGUCCGGUGGUGGUGAGCGGCGGUGCGGUCCCAGGGGGCCUCCGUCAAUAGCCAGGAAUUAAAAUGUCAGAGGUGACCGAAGGUGCAGUCACACCUCAUGGCUGUCCUGUCCUCAUCCCCCCUGAAGACGACAGUGACCCCAUUAUCUAUAUUAAAUUUCACCUAGAAGGAAGUCUAGAA
This is a long non-coding RNA of Camelus dromedarius (Arabian camel), 2025 nucleotides long. RefSeq lists it as uncharacterized. The record is from RefSeq and is a predicted model, not a curated record. The transcript is spliced from 2 exons. Lineage: Eukaryota; Metazoa; Chordata; Mammalia; Artiodactyla; Camelidae.